This is a long non-coding RNA of Equus asinus (donkey), 1650 nucleotides long. Lineage: Eukaryota; Metazoa; Chordata; Mammalia; Perissodactyla; Equidae. The record is from Ensembl.
CUGACUUCCCCAUUGGUUCCAUGUAGGCAUGGCCUAUGUUUGCCUUGCAGAAUUCUGUGUUCCCAGUGUUUAGCAUGGUGCCUUGCACACAGUGGGUGCUCAAAGAAUAUUCGUUGAAUAAAUGAGUCACAGGGAAGUGAGGGAGCCUGGAGCCUCUCCCAGCUGCCGAGAGGGCCUGAGGGGGCGGCUGGGAGCAUGUGAUGUUGUGGUGCUGCUCUGAGGCUUGCUUCCAGGGAUCUUCGUGAUGAAGGGACUGGUUUAGAACAUCUUAUGGUCAGAACGUUUCAAAGAUUAUCAUCUACUGCAACUUCUCGCCAAGGGCAAGAAUCUCUCUUGAAACAUCUGACAAUUGACGCUGUAGGAGUUCACCAUCGCACGUGUUCAGAUAAUUGGGUUGAAAGGGAACAACUGAAUUUCUGGAGCCACAGAACAAGGCCUUCGUUCCUCCACUCUGUCGACAUGAGUUGUUCUUCUGGGGCCUUCAUCCUCUGUCAUUCGUCCAGUGAGGCAGGUGCAUGGGAGCCCCAUCAUUGGCCUGAAGCUGUAAAAUACAAGAUUCACCCACAGGUGUAAGCCGAAUAGAGAAGAUGACUUUCUGAAACUGAAGGAAGUUGGAAGGAGAGGUGAGGGCUAACACGAGCAUCUCUGCAGUGAAAGGCAGGGCGAGAGGAACCUUCCCUAUUCUCACUGAUAGACACUGAAGAGAGGCCACCAUGUGAUAAAGGAACAACCUUUGCCAUCAUCUCCUUGUUGAAAUUGAAGAAACGAAAUGAGCGCUGACGGAGGUGGGUGAUGUCACGUUGUCAUCUGCCAUCCCUGAAAUACCACUUCCUCUUCGUGGGGGCAUGAGGACCCAACGCAGAAACGCAGCUCGGUCAUCCCAUGAGGGGAUGUCAGCUCUUCAGAUGCUCCCUUUUGAUGGAAGGGUGUCGUUGGCAAACACCCGGCUACCUGCUCUUCGGGGGGAAAUGAACCUAAGAUGCGGAAAUAAAUACGUAAGACCAGCAUAAGCACUAUUAAAUUCCAGACAAGUUAUCUAAAGGACCCGACACAUUACACGCUUCUUCCAUCACCACCACACCCCCAUACACUUCAAUUCAACUCUACAAAAAUAAAUUCUGUGUGUCACACUUAUGCUGGGCAUCGUUCUAGAUGCUGUGGGAAGUCACGGUGGGGCAAACGCCAAGAUCUGUCUGAUAUAAUAAUGCCCUCAAGAAACUUUAUGAUUUAGUAGGAAGAUAGAAGUAUUCUAAAGUCAUUGAUAAUCUAUAAAAUAAUGCAAAAUUAACUAGUAAAGACUAAGCAGAAAGCUGUGGGACACUGAGGGCAGAAUCUCCCAGGUGAAGGGAAUUAACAGUUUUUUAAGCAGCCAGCGUGUGGCACAUGAUGUACUAAGAAUUUUAUAUACCUUAUAUUAUUUCUUCCGCAGAAAAAUUAAAUGAGGUAUUAUUAACUCUUUCACAAUUGCUUGAGGUGACUCUCGGGGAGGUUAAGUACCUUGCCCACACCACACAGUUAGCAUGAGUCAGAGGCUUGGCAGUUCCUUUUCUGCUACAGAUAACAGGACGGGGCUUUUGAUUGAGGCUGGAAAAAAUUUCAAAAGGUGGCAAAAAGGCGGGUGGAGGGGACCUGAAGAGAAGCCUUUCACCC